Molecule: ribosomal RNA, 306 nt
Filed under: Triticum aestivum (bread wheat)
Lineage: Eukaryota; Viridiplantae; Streptophyta; Magnoliopsida; Poales; Poaceae
Description: partial small subunit ribosomal RNA
Source: RNAcentral
AUGAGUUGCUUGAGCUGGAACUGUCGGGGGCUUGGGAACCCGGCGGCAGUUCGUGAGCUUCGCAAUAUUGUGAAGCAAGAAGGGCCCGAUCUCCUGUUUGUUAUGGAGACAAAAAUUUCUGCACAAAGAGUGGAGGGUUUUAAACUCCUGCUAGGGUUUGCAGGCUGCUUUCCAGUCAGCGGUGUUGGCCUAAGUGGGGGGAUUGGCAUGUUCUGGUCCGGGGAACUGGACGUGGAGUUGAAUAGUUACAGUUCCGGCCAUAUUGAUCAUAUGGUGUGGAAGAAAUGUGAUGGCACGAAGCAAUGA